GCAAGUCUGGUGCCAGCAGCCGCGGUAAUUCCAGCUCCAAUAGCGUAUAUUAAAGUUGUUGCAGUUAAAAAGCUCGUAGUUGAACCUUGGGCCUGGCUGACCGGUCCGCCUCACCGCGUGCACUGGUUCGGCCGGGCCUUUCCUUCUGGGGAGCCGCAUGCCCUUCACUGGGUGUGUCGGGGAACCAGGACUUUUACUUUGAAAAAAUUAGAGUGUUCAAAGCAGGCCUAUGCUCGAAUACAUUAGCAUGGAAUAAUAGAAUAGGACGUGUGGUUCUAUUUUGUUGGUUUCUAGGACCGCCGUAAUGAUUAAUAGGGAUAGUCGGGGGCAUCAGUAUUCAAUUGUCAGAGGUGAAAUUCUUGGAUUUAUUGAAGACUAACUACUGCGAAAGCAUUUGCCAAGGAUGUUUUCAUUAAUCAGUGAACGAAAGUUAGGGGAUCGAAGACGAUCAGAUACCGUCGUAGUCUUAACCAUAAACUAUGCCGACUAGGGAUCGGGCGAUGUUAUCUUUUUGACUCGCUCGGCACCUCACGAGAAAUCAAAGUUUUUGGGUUCUGGGGGGAGUAUGGUCGCAAGGCUGAAACUUAAAGGAAUUGACGGAAG
This 603-nucleotide ribosomal RNA is filed under the name Clarireedia homoeocarpa. RNAcentral's name for it is "SSU rRNA". It matches the Rfam family "Eukaryotic small subunit ribosomal RNA", at positions 555 to 1162 of the family's 1831-position model. Lineage: Eukaryota; Fungi; Ascomycota; Leotiomycetes; Helotiales; Rutstroemiaceae. The record is from RNAcentral.